Molecule: ribosomal RNA, 465 nt
Filed under: uncultured bacterium
Lineage: Bacteria
Description: partial 16S ribosomal RNA
Rfam family: Bacterial small subunit ribosomal RNA
Source: RNAcentral
GACGAACGCUCGCGGCGUGCUUGACUCAUGCAACUCGAACGGAAAGGCCCUGCUUUUGUGGUUUGCUCGAAUGGCGAACGGGUGAGUAACACGUGAGUAACCUUCCCGUGACUUUGUGAUAACGUCAGGAAACUGGGGCUAAUACCGUAUAGGAGCUCCUGCUGCAUUGUGGGGUGUGAAAAUUUUCGGCGCUUGGGGAUGGACUCGCGGCUCAUCAGCUUGUUGGUGGGGUAGUGGCUUACCAAGGCUUUGACGGGUAGCCGGGCUGAGAAGGUGACCGGCCAGAUUGGGACUGGUAUACGGGGCAGAGUCCUACGGGAGGCAGAAGCGGAGAAUAUUGCACAAUGGGCGGAAGACUGAGGCAGCAACGCCGCGUGAGGGAUGACGGCCUUCGGGUUGUAAACCGCUUUCGUCCGUGACGAAGCGUGAGUGACGGUAAUGGGUAAGGAUGGAACGGCUAAGUAC